CCUUGUUGAACUUGAACCCUUCUUUGAUAUGGUAGCCUUAGGGCUAUAAUACACCUUGUUACGGUGAUGAUGACCAUCUAAUCCCCAUCCAUAGCUCUUGCAUGAUUUUAUCAUCUUAGCUCUUACAUGAACUACUUUCUUUGGUAGGUCUUCAAUGCUCUUCACGUUUGCUAGCGAUGUGAAUGACUGUGAUUUCCCACAGUAAUGCUUUGAUAGCCCUCUCCUACAAAUACAUAUAUAAACAAUUAAUCGACCUAAACAUGGGGGCAAAAUAGAUGCAUGCAUGCAUGUAUGAUGAUGCUUACUUGAUAGGUAGUUGAGCCAUCAUCUCAGAUAACUCAUAAAGUGGCCCAUUCGAUGAUGAUGCAGAAGAUGUAGCAUCAUCAACCAAGUCUGAUGAAGAAGCUAUUGAAGCAUUAAUGGAGUUUUCAAAGGAGGAUUCAUCACUUUCCAUUUUCUUC
Molecule: long non-coding RNA, 461 nt
Filed under: Gossypium barbadense (sea-island cotton)
Lineage: Eukaryota; Viridiplantae; Streptophyta; Magnoliopsida; Malvales; Malvaceae
Description: long non-coding RNA (GBAR_LNC005852)
Source: RNAcentral